RNAcentral lists this ribosomal RNA (253 nucleotides) under uncultured bacterium. RNAcentral describes it as "partial 16S ribosomal RNA". It matches the Rfam family "Bacterial small subunit ribosomal RNA", at positions 524 to 776 of the family's 1533-position model. The record is from RNAcentral.
UACGUAGGGGGCAAGCGUUGUCCGGAUUUAUUGGGCGUAAAGAGCUUGUAGGCGGUUUGUCGCGUCUGCUGUGAAAUUUCGGGGCUCAACCCCGAACUUGCAGUGGGUACGGGCAGACUAGAGUGUGGUAGGGGAGACUGGAAUUCCUGGUGUAGCGGUGGAAUGCGCAGAUAUCAGGAGGAACACCGGUGGCGAAGGCGGGAUCCUGGGCCAGUACUGACGCUGAGGAGCGAAAGCGUGGGGAGCAAACAGG